GCGUACCUGAGCUGCUGGAACCAGGGGACUUGCUCCUUCUUGAGGGUCCACCACUGCGGGGAGAGCAGCGGCCCUGCAUGGAAGAAAUACGGCCAUAGGACUGCGAUUUCAUCACCCUGCACUCUGAGAAAGCUCUGCACUAUGUUCCUCCUGUCUCUGUAAUACACACCGAAGACAGUCUCAUCUGUGUGGAUGACCUGAUGUCACCGCCGAUCAAUCAACCGCAACCUCUGUCUGGCCCAAGCAUGUCGGCCUGACAUCCUGGAGGUCUGAUCGGAGGAGAUCUGACAGGCUGGUUUGCUCUCAGACCAGAUGCACAGAGAAGUCAUCCUGGUAGCGGAACUUCUCUGGGCCGCAGGCAAUAAAUAUAUCAUCCUCACCAAAGAAGUCCUGAAGACAUGUUAUCUGUGAACACAGCAGAGGUAGAAUUAUUAUUCACCUAAACAUUUACAUUCAAAAGUUU
Long non-coding RNA from Ctenopharyngodon idella (grass carp), 463 nucleotides. RefSeq lists it as uncharacterized. The record is from RefSeq and is a predicted model, not a curated record. The transcript is spliced from 3 exons. NCBI's taxonomy places the organism in Eukaryota, Metazoa, Chordata, Actinopteri, Cypriniformes, Xenocyprididae.